AAACUGUGAUGGUGUUGGAUUGUCAGACCGUAAUGUUGCAGCUCAAAGCAGCUUUUCUAGCUCAGUUCAUUCUGACAUUCAGCUAUGAAUCAACACAGCAGAUGGUGAUCCAUGCUGUGGAAGUCUCACAUCUCCUGAUUUAAUGGAGCUGCUUUGCACUUUUUACACUGUUUAUUCACCAACACUUUAUUUAAUAAAAGUCUCAUCUAGUUUUUAUGAGGAAUGUGAUGUUUUAAUUUCUCUGUGAAUAACUGCAGUCUAAUGCAACAGCUGGAGUUGUAACAUCUGUCCUGAUAUUGAUCAUGAAGUAUUGAUCAGAAUACUUAUGGUUAGCAGUCAUCCCUGAAGUUUUACAUUAAAAUCUUUACUUGUGUUGUGAACUUUGGUAAGAAGCAGAAACGUUAGCGUUACCAUGGAUACAUGAGUGUUAAUUUCUGUCCAUGUUUCCAUUUUGGGAAAUGCAGUCCAGCAGAUGAGUUUGUUUUUACUGACAACUACCAUUCAGUCUGAGAUAUUAAGAAUAAAUAAAGGUGCAUAAUGUGGAAAUGAACAGAUUUUAUUUUUAUUUAUUCCUACAGCAGCUGCGGGGAAAGUUCUAGAAUGUGGAGGAAUUUAGUCUCAUAGUCACAGACAAUAAAUAUUAUCUGAAAGUCGGGUUAUUGUUGUUCAUCAGCACAUGUUAGACAUAUUCCAGUUAAGACUCUAGAAUAUCAGAAUUUAUGUAAAUUUACCUCAAUAAUAUGAAUGUUCAGGUUAAGAUUGUACAGUGAUGUUUAUUAUUUAAGUUUAGCUGAUUAAAGUUUGACUCUGCACUACAAUAUUAUUUUUUAUUGAAAUUGACAUCAUUAUUAUAAUAUUUAGGGUCAGACCCUACAGUAUUGAGAUUAAGAAAUCAAAUAUUCUAUAAAAUGGAAAUACACUGAACUCAUUUGGGUAUAUUUAAGUGAGACUCUACAAUAUUAUUUGACACAAAUCUAUCUAAAGCCAAAUUUUAAUCAUUUUUACUCCAAACAUUUACUGAACUGAUUUAAACAUUAAAAUCACUCCUUUCUAUUCCUCUGCUGUACGUUCAAACCUGAGGCCUUAAAUAGAAACACAAGUAUCUGUUUGAAGGAACUUCUGCAGAGUCCUGGUUCCAGAACAUGAUGAUAGAAUUAUUGACAAACUUUAACAAAAGCUGCCUGAGAGUUUACAGGUUUUUAUGUUGGAUUUCUUCAGUAAUUUAAUGAGAGUUAUCAGCAAUAAUCAAGUGUUCAUUUGAUGAACUUCAUUUCCUAAAACAUACAGAAUUGAAGCUCAUAUCUUUGGCAGCUGUAAAGUUUCUGCUCCUUCAAAGUUCACAACACAAUGAAUGAAUUCCUAAAACACUCUCAAUGCUGGAGAGCGUUUGUGAUGCUGAAGCAGUGACCAGUUUUUCUGUUUCUUCUCUGGAGAUGCACAAUGAGGGACGUCUGCAGAGACUGAGAAAGAGUCUCACCACAUCCUGACAUGAGGAAAAAGACUUUAUUGAAGACUACAAUGAGAAAAACUAUCAGACAGCAGAUGGCUGCAUUCAAGUCUGUAGCUGCUGAAUUCAUGGAUGAAUCAUCUGGCACUAGAGAAGAAGACCAUCAAACAUCCAUGUCAGCUGAUGGAGGUCCAAGAGUCUCACCAAACAAACAACCUACAGAGUGAAGACCUCAAAUCUGAUUGGAUGGCCUCCUAUUCAGCCACGUGUGAACAAAUGCCUCUAAGCUGAUUUGUUUUCUAAAAUAAAUCUAGUUUGAGUCCUAA
Long non-coding RNA from Amphiprion ocellaris (clown anemonefish), 1773 nucleotides. Lineage: Eukaryota; Metazoa; Chordata; Actinopteri; Pomacentridae. The record is from Ensembl.